AUAUAUACACAAGAAAUUGAGUAGACGGCUAGAACAGAUAAAUAAU
This 46-nucleotide non-coding RNA is filed under the name Trypanosoma lewisi. The record is from RNAcentral. Lineage: Eukaryota; Euglenozoa; Kinetoplastea; Trypanosomatida; Trypanosomatidae.